Molecule: ribosomal RNA, 325 nt
Filed under: uncultured eukaryote
Lineage: Eukaryota
Description: partial 18S ribosomal RNA
Rfam family: Eukaryotic small subunit ribosomal RNA
Source: RNAcentral
CCCUUAGAUGUUCUGGGCCGCACGCGCGCUACACUGAUUCAUGCAACAAGUUUUGUCCUUGGCUGAUAGGCCUGGGUAAUCUUUGAACGUGAAUCGUGAUGGGGAUAGAUGAUUGCAAUUAUUCAUCUUCAACGAGGAAUUCCUAGUAAACGCAAGUCAUCAGCUUGCAUUGAUUACGUCCCUGCCCUUUGUACACACCGCCCGUCGCUACUACCGAUUGAAUGGUUUAGUGAGGCCUCGGGACUGGCGCGCUCGAGUAGCAAUACACCUGCGCGCCGGGAACUUGGUCAAACUUGAUCAUUUAGAGGAAGUAAAAGUCGUAACA